Molecule: ribosomal RNA, 589 nt
Filed under: Agrobacterium pusense
Lineage: Bacteria; Pseudomonadati; Pseudomonadota; Alphaproteobacteria; Hyphomicrobiales; Rhizobiaceae
Description: bacterial SSU rRNA
Rfam family: Bacterial small subunit ribosomal RNA
Source: RNAcentral
GGGAAGUGGCUCACUGAUGAAUAACGCGUGGGAACGUACCCUUUCCUGCGGAAUAGCUCCGGGAAACUGGAAUUAAUACCGCAUACGCCCUACGGGGGAAAGAUUUAUCGGGGAAGGAUGGGCCCGCGUUGGAUUAGCUAGUUGGUGGGGCAAAGGCCUACCAAGGCGACGAUCCAUACCUGGUCUGAGAGGAUGAUCACCCACAUUGGGACUGAGACACGGCCCAAACUCCUACGGGAGGCAGCAGUGGGGAAUAUUGGACAAUGGGCGCAAGCCUGAUCCAGCCAUGCCGCGUGAGUGAUGAAGGCCUUAAGGUUGUAAAGCUCUUUCACCGAUGAAUAUAAUGACGGUAGUCGGAGAAGAAGCCCCGGCUAACUUCGAGCCAGCACCCGCGGUAAUACGAAGGGGGCUAGCGUUGCUCAGAAUUACUGGGCGUAAAGCGCACGUACGCGGAUAUUUAAGUCUAGGGUGAAAUCCCGCAGCUCAACUGCUGAACUGCCUUUGAUACUGCGUAUCUUGAGUAUGGAAGAGGUAAGUGGAAUUCCCAGUGCAGAGGUGAAAUUCGUAUAUAUUCUGAGGAACACCAGUG